This 77-nucleotide transfer RNA is filed under the name Cellvibrio zantedeschiae. RNAcentral's name for it is "tRNA-Met". It matches the Rfam family "tRNA". From Rfam's summary of the family: Transfer RNA (tRNA) molecules are approximately 80 nucleotides in length. Their secondary structure includes four short double-helical elements and three loops (D, anti-codon, and T loops). Further hydrogen bonds mediate the characteristic L-shaped molecular structure. tRNAs have two regions of fundamental functional importance: the anti-codon, which is responsible for specific mRNA codon recognition, and the 3' end, to which the tRNAs corresponding amino acid is attached (by aminoacyl-tRNA synthetases). tRNAs cope with the degeneracy of the genetic code in two manners: having more than one tRNA (with a specific anti-codon) for a particular amino acid; and 'wobble' base-pairing, i.e. permitting non-standard base-pairing at the 3rd anti-codon position. RNAcentral also lists the same sequence under 4 other names. The record is from RNAcentral. Lineage: Bacteria; Pseudomonadati; Pseudomonadota; Gammaproteobacteria; Cellvibrionales; Cellvibrionaceae.
GGGCCUAUAGCUCAGUUGGUUAGAGCAUCCGACUCAUAAUCGGCAGGUCACUGGUUCAAGUCCAGUUGGGCCCACCA